This 510-nucleotide ribosomal RNA is filed under the name uncultured bacterium. Its description in RNAcentral is "partial 16S ribosomal RNA". It matches the Rfam family "Bacterial small subunit ribosomal RNA", at positions 28 to 507 of the family's 1533-position model. The record is from RNAcentral.
GACGAACGCUGGCGGCGUGCUUAACACAUGCAAGUCGAACGAAGAGCGAUGGAAGCUUGCUUCUAUCACUCUUAGUGGCGCACGGGUGAGUAACGCGUAAUCAACCUGCCCUUCAGAGGGGGACAACAGUUGGAAACGACUGCUAAUACCGCAUACGAUCUAACCUCGGCAUCGAGGAUGGAUGAAAGGUGGCCUCUAUUUAUAAGCUAUCACUGAAGGAGGGGAUUGCGUCUGAUUAGCUAGUUGGAGGGGUAACGGCCCACCAAGGCGAUGAUCAGUAGCCGGUCUGAGAGGAUGAACGGCCACAUUGGGACUGAGACACGGCCCAGACUCCUACGGGAGGCAGCAGUGGGGAAUCUUCCGCAAUGGACGAAAGUCUGACGGAGCAACGCCGCGUGAGUGAUGACGGCCUUCGGGUUGUAAAGCUCUGUUAAUCAGGACGAAAGGCCUUCUUGCGAAUAGUUAGAAGGAUUGACGGUACCGGAAUAGAAAGCCACGGCUAACUACGUG